Molecule: long non-coding RNA, 2328 nt
Organism: Gallus gallus (chicken)
Lineage: Eukaryota; Metazoa; Chordata; Aves; Galliformes; Phasianidae
Source: Ensembl
CAAGAAUUCUGAAAGCACAUUACUAAAUGAAGAUAUUACUCAGCAUGUAUUUGCAUUGUUUUUGCAUGUGCUUCUCAGCACAUUACACAACUAUUGUGAACUAAGACUUUUUAGGUACUUGCAGUGGAACAGUAGUAGCAAAUAAAACGUGCAGCUAAGGAAGGGCUGCCCAAAGCGUCAUCGGUAAACUUACAUCUGUUUUGAUGUCCAUGCGAUCCUGUGGCACAUGGGAUUACCAAGCCUUGCUAAGUUUAAAGUCCAGUAAUCCUCUUUUGUGCAGUAACACGUGUAGAUACUUUAUAACAGCUUAGAUGGUAAUUAGCAGGGGAUUUCGGAUUCAUUGACUGGAUACAAAUAUAGAAUCAGGGAGGGAAAGACCUAGGCAGCAAUUCUCAAAUGAGGGGACACUAAUGCAGUGGGCUUUGCAAUAUUUAUGGGGUCGGCAGUAAGCCAGCAGAAUUUCCAAGAAGAGUUGAUGUUAUUGGCAUUUGGGAUUGCAAACAAAAAUGAAGUCUUAAUCAGAAAUAGAGAAAGACCAUUUUAGGUAGGAGAAGUUUUGUGUUUAGAUCUGUAUUUUUCUGAUAUUCUGUAGCUGAGACAUAAAUCCAUCAGGGCUGUCACUCCAGCUGGUUGUGUCAGCAAUUGCUGUUCUGCUUUUUGAGUAUUUGGGGAAUUAGCUGUUGAUUCAGCCUUAUUAAAUUAAUGUGUUUUGAUAUGCCUUACAAAAAUGGUCCUUGCAUGAAGUGAGAGAGUGAAAUGAGUUGAGCUACCUCCACCUGACCUUGUUUUACAUGCAGAGACCUUACUACUGUAGCUAAAUGAAAGGAAAUGUAAGUUUUUACUAUUUUCACUAUUCUAGAAAUCAAUGUAAUCACCAAAUGAAUCUUACUGAAAAUGCACUGGCUUUCUGCUUACAGGUUUUCUGCAUUUCAGUUAUUCACUAAUGUAAUAUUACAUUAUAUUUUUGAUUUCACUGCCAGCUAGCCAAGUUGAGAAAAUGCAGAAUUUGCAGGAUAAGGGCCUAAGAGUGUAAUGAAAAUCCCUUUAGUUUUCUUUUAUUGCUUGAGAGAAAUGUUAUUUUUGUAAGGAUGGGAUUCAUAUCAGCUGCAAAUGCAAACUCGCAUCCUAGAGGAGAUAGGAGCUGAAGGCACAUUUUUAUGUGCCUCAGAAACUGUGAGUUCAGCUGUUGGUUUAUGUGUUGGUUGUUUCACGCAUACUUUCUUGUCAGAAAAUCAAGAGGCUAGAGUAUAUAGCCUUAGGUUAGAGCUGGUUUUGAACAGUAGUUUGAAUUUAAAGAAAUACCAUUAAAAAUUUAUCUGAACUGACAUUUUUGACUUUUUUUAAGAAACAAGUUUUAUUUUGUCUCUUACUUUGACUUAUAGUCUGAUAGAUUUGUAUAUCCAGGAAUAGGCUUUGGCAUCUGAUUCUUUUUGUAGAAUUGAAUAAAUGUUUUUGUUAAAAAAAACAUUCCACAAGUGUGUAAAAAUUCUCUUUUAUUCACUGCCCUGCCCACAACAUAUCAAUGAAGUAACUAAAAUUUUCCUCUUAUAUUUUUUUACAAUUAAAAUGUUAUCCUGAUUUCAUCAGCACGUUUAUGUUUUACUGAAAGUUGCACAUCUCAUUCUUUUGCAUUGAUUCCUCCCUUUCCUUUCUUUCCAAAGCACUGAAUAAGGAGUCCUUCUUGUGGCUGCUCCUUGAUGAACUCUGAGGAGUCUCAUGUUUCACAUUUUUACAGAAAUAUCUUUCUCUGUGCUGGUAGAGUUUUUCCUUGUUUUUAGCAGAGCCCUUAAAAAGUGCACCAAGAAACAUUUCAGUAAAUCUAAGACUGAAAGUGAAAGAGAGAUGACUCAGUCUGUAGAAACACUUGCUUUCUAGUUCAGCUGCCAAAAUGAAAUAGUUAUAUGUGGUCCAAAUAGCACAUGUGGAAACGGGCCCAAAUGUUACCAUUAUGUUAGAUUGCCAAGUCCUGUGUUGUCAGCAAAGGCUGUUGGCAGUGGGACAGUGAUGUGACACUCAUUCAAAUUGGGAAGUGCUGGACUUUGAACUUCCCUUUCCAAUGGAUUUGAUUUGAUCAUUGACUGGUUACAAGUCACAGUAGCAGGGCAGCAGCUUCUCCUUUUGGGUGCUGAGUUUAAGCCCCAAAGGUUCACAUUAGUUGCUUAAAUAGUUACAGCAAUUGGCUUUUGACAACAUAAGGCCCACGAGCAACUAUUUCUCCUCCUUUCUUAAGCCAGAUGUAAAUAAACACUAUACAAGCCCCCCACAGAGUCAUGCAAAAUGGCACAUCUCAGGAUGGGCUUUUUUUCUUUUAAGCUGUCUAUCUUGUAC